CAGUCGAGGGGCAGCAUGGUCUUAGCUUGCUAAGGCCGAUGGCGACCGGCGCACGGGUGAGUAACACGUAUCCAACCUGCCGUCUACUCUUGGACAGCCUUCUGAAAGGAAGAUUAAUACAAGAUGGCAUCAUGAGUCCGCAUGUUCACAUGAUUAAAGGUAUUCCGGUAGACGAUGGGGAUGCGUUCCAUUAGAUAGUAGGCGGGGUAACGGCCCACCUAGUCUUCGAUGGAUAGGGGUUCUGAGAGGAAGGUCCCCCACAUUGGAACUGAGACACGGUCCAAACUCCUACGGGAGGCAGCAGUGAGGAAUAUUGGUCAAUGGGCGAGAGCCUGAACCAGCCAAGUAGCGUGAAGGAUGACUGCCCUAUGGGUUGUAAACUUCUUUUAUAAAGGAAUAAAGUCGGGUAUGGAUACCCGUUUGCAUGUACUUUAUGAAUAAGGAUCGGCUAACUCCGUGCCAGCAGCCGCGGUAAUACGGAGGAUCCGAGCGUUAUCCGGAUUUAUUGGGUUUAAAGGGAGCGUAGAUGGAUGUUUAAGUCAGUUGUGAAAGUUUGCGGCUCAACCGUAAAAUUGCAGUUGAUACUGGAUAUCUUGAGUGCAGUUGAGGCAGGCGGAAUUCGUGGUGUAGCGGUGAAAUGCUUAGAUAUCACGAAGAACUCCGAUUGCGAAGGCAGCCUGCUAAGCUGCAACUGACA
Molecule: ribosomal RNA, 697 nt
Filed under: uncultured bacterium
Lineage: Bacteria
Description: bacterial SSU rRNA
Rfam family: Bacterial small subunit ribosomal RNA
Source: RNAcentral